This 425-nucleotide ribosomal RNA is filed under the name uncultured bacterium. RNAcentral describes it as "partial 16S ribosomal RNA". It matches the Rfam family "Bacterial small subunit ribosomal RNA", at positions 354 to 796 of the family's 1533-position model. The record is from RNAcentral.
GUGGGGAAUAUUGGACAAUGGGCGCAAGCCUGAUCCAGCCAUGCCGCGUGAGUGAUGAAGGCCCUAGGGUUGUAAAGCUCUUUCACCGGUGAAGAUAAUGACGGUAACCGGAGAAGAAGCCCCGGCUAACUUCGUGCCAGCAGCCGCGGUAAUACGAAGGGGGCUAGCGUUGUUCGGAAUUACUGGGCGUAAAGCGCACGUAGGCGGGUAUUUAAGUCAGGGGUGAAAUCCCGGAGCUCAACUCCGGAACUGCCUUUGAUACUGGGUACCUAGAGUAUGGAAGAGGUAAGUGGAAUUCCGAGUGUAGAGGUGAAAUUCGUAGAUAUUCGGAGGAACACCAGUGGCGAAGGCGGCUUACUGGUCCAUUACUGACGCUGAGGUGCGAGAGCGUGGGGAGCAAACAGGAUUAGAAACCCGUGUAGUCC